Molecule: ribosomal RNA, 465 nt
Filed under: uncultured bacterium
Lineage: Bacteria
Description: bacterial SSU rRNA
Rfam family: Bacterial small subunit ribosomal RNA
Source: RNAcentral
UCCUACGGGGGGCAGCAGUCGAGAAUUUUUCACAAUGGGCGCAAGCCUGAUGGAGCGACGCCGCGUGGGGGAUGAAGGGCUUCGGCCCGUAAACCCCUGUCAUUUGCGAACAAACCUUGCCUGAUAACACCAGGCGAGCUGAUUGUAGUGAAAGAGGAAGGGACGGCUAACUCUGUGCCAGCAGCCGCGGUAAUACAGAGGUCCCAAGCGUUGUUCGGAUUCACUGGGCGUAAAGGGUGCGUAGGUGGUGAGGUAAGUCGGAUGUGAAAUCUCUGAGCUCAACUCAGAAAUGGCAUUGGAAACUACCUUGCUUGAGGAUUGGAGGGGGGACUGGAAUUCUCGGUGUAGCAGUGAAAUGCGUAGAGAUCGAGAGGAACACCAGUGGCGAAGGCGAGUCCCUGGACAAUACCUGACGCUGAGGCACGAAAGCUAGGGGAGCAAACAGGAUUAGAUACCCCUGUAGUC